RNAcentral lists this ribosomal RNA (467 nucleotides) under uncultured bacterium. RNAcentral's name for it is "partial 16S ribosomal RNA". It matches the Rfam family "Bacterial small subunit ribosomal RNA", at positions 28 to 506 of the family's 1533-position model. The record is from RNAcentral.
GACGAACGCUGGCGGCGUGCUUAACACAUGCAAGUCGAACGGAAAGGCCCUGCUUUUGUGGGGUGCUCGAGUGGCGAACGGGUGAGUAACACGUGAGUAACCUGCCCUUGACUUUGGGAUAACUUCAGGAAACUGGGGCUAAUACCGGAUAGGAGCUCCUGCUGCAUGGUGGGGGUUGGAAAGUUUCGGCGGUUGGGGAUGGACUCGCGGCUUAUCAGCUUGUUGGUGGGGUAGUGGCUUACCAAGGCUUUGACGGGUAGCCGGCCUGAGAGGGUGACCGGCCACAUUGGGACUGAGAGACGGCCCAGACUCCUACGGGAGGCAGCAGUGGGGAAUAUUGCACAAUGGGCGGAAGCCUGAUGCAGCAACGCCGCGUGCGGGAUGACGGCCUUCGGGUUGUAAACCGCUUUCGCCUGUGACGAAGCGUGAGUGACGGUAAUGGGUAAAGAAGCACCGGCAAACUACGU